This 1458-nucleotide long non-coding RNA is filed under the name Laticauda laticaudata (blue-ringed sea krait). RNAcentral's name for it is "lncRNA (ENSLLTG00000001015.1)". The record is from RNAcentral. Lineage: Eukaryota; Metazoa; Chordata; Lepidosauria; Squamata; Elapidae.
CUUUGCCCGUGUUCUACUCAUCUUAUUGCGUAUUAUUCCCGUCGUUCAAAUGAAUUGUCCGCCUUCUCGCCCGCCCUCAAAGGGCUUGAAACAUGAAAAACACCAACUCGCAAGGCAUGAUGGGAGGCGAGAGGCCACGGGAGCCACGCAAGGGCACCUGGGAGAAAAUGACUCGGGCACCUGAGGGAGAGCGCAAAGAAAUAAACACCUUAUUCAAUGGACAUCUGAUUGCAAAGGAUGCAGCAAUACACUGACCCGAAUCUUCCCUUUCUGCAUCUCGGCAUGGAUCUUGGCCAACUGUCAGCUAAAUAAUACUUUUUGGAGUGUCAGAAGAGAUUCAGCAAUACCGCCAAAAAAUUAGCAAAACUCUGAAUUGCCUAAACUCAACUUUAGUAACUUUGUUCCAAAAAAAAAAAGGAAGAGAAUAUCCCACACUUGUAGGCUAGGUAUCUCUGCAUUUUCUCUUACCUGAGAGCAAAAUAAUCCUGCCUCAUGACCUUCAAAGUUACUGGGUGUCAGGGAGGCGCAGACGGAUUUCUAUCUCAGAGGAUGCCGAGCUGGAAAAUUUAUAGAGGUGCAUUGUUUGCCUCGGCUCCCAGCCGGGUGGGUGAGGCUUUUACGAGUCAAAUGCUAUAAAAGAGGCAACGUGACUCCCUUUUCCUUACCGUCCUGUGUUUCCACCCGGAGCCCAUCCUACAGGACAUGGCCAAUGAAGAGAAGCACCCAGAUUCCUGGCCAGGAGGGCUGCACCCGAAGAGCCCUCCUUAUUCUCCUCACUCCUGUCUGGAGCUCACCAAGACCCCCACGGUCUCAAACCACAAGCUGCUCAUCCUGACAGUGGGUGCCAUCGCUGCUUUUUCCAUCAGCAUCGUUGGGAUCCUCGUGGCGACGUUCCUGGGGAGAACAUCUUGUCUCCAGAGGGGCGCCUUUGGCUACCCCACACAAGUCAACGUCCAAAACGAAGCAUCUCUGCUGCUGGCUCUCAGCGGACUCGACGAGCAGGGCCUCUCACCCGGCAUUACCUGCGAUUUGAGAAACCACUUUAUGGUGUAUCACGGCCAGCCGGAGGGAUGUGUGACCCGCAAAAUGGACCCCGCUGAACUGCUGCCGUCCUGCCAGGAGCUGGAAAGCUUCUUCCAAGUUGUCCUAAAAAACAUCACUCUGGGGAUCACCGCAGAGGUACAGAUGAUGGGAACGGGGGCCCUGGGAGGCCUAGUCACUUUACUCUGCAGCAACAAGCCAAUAUACCUGGUUGGAAGCUCGGCAUUGGCUUUUCCGAAAACCAGAGCUACUUAGGAAAGAGAUCUCCUUAUUUCUUCCUGCUAAAAUCUUCCCCUGCCAUGGAAGAAGCCACAAGGCGGUUGCACGGCUGGGAAAGACAAACCACAAGAUGGAGACUGUCUUCCACCACCACGCCUUUAAAAAUUGCUGAAUUUGUAGCACUUAAUAAAGAGGAGA